Non-coding RNA from Musa acuminata subsp. malaccensis (wild Malaysian banana), 72 nucleotides. The record is from Rfam. NCBI's taxonomy places the organism in Eukaryota, Viridiplantae, Streptophyta, Magnoliopsida, Zingiberales, Musaceae.
UCCUUAGUAGCUCAAUGGUAGAGCGGCCAACUAUUAAUUGAUUAGUUGUAGGUUUGAAUCCUACUUGGGGCU